AUGCAAAUAAGAGCCCCUCCUGCUCUUCCCCCCGUCCGUUCAGCCGGCCACUCCAGCCGUCGACCGAGCUGCUUGUGGCCGAUCCCUCCCGGCAACCCAGGCCCUACCUCCAGCGACCGCGACUUUCUCGGCUACAUCUUCCUCAAUUGCUCCACCUCUUGGCGCAUCGGCCGUGGAGAGCUCACCCUCCCAUGGCUCCCCAACCUGCGGGCGCUCUACCAGUUCCGCCUCUUCUGUUGUCACGCCAAAAAGUACUCCUACCACGACGUCGACCACGACGGUAACCCGCUCCUCCACGGCCGCCACCACGUCGCGCACUCCGGCGAGGUCUCUUUCGCGGGCUCGGCCGCGCAGCCCGAGCAGGUGCACCUCUCGUUCGCUGAUAGGGCCGACGAGAUGCGGGUGAUGUUCGUGUGCGCGGAUGCCGGAAAGGGGGCCCUGAGGUAUGGGCUUGAGAAGGAGGAGGAGAAGGGCUGGACGGAGGUGGGCACAGAGGUGAGGACGUACGAGCAGAAGCACAUGUGUGAUCCGCUGGCGAACAACAUCGUAGGGUGGAGGGAUCCAGGCUUCGUCUUCGAUGGCCUCAUGAAUGGAUUGGAGCCCGGAAGGAGGUACUUUUACAAGCAACUUAGUGUUCCAGCGGCAUCAGAUUGUUCUUCUAGUAUCUUGCCCAGCAGAGGAGCCGGCCGUCAUCAUGAGCGGCGCGCUGUUCUCCAUGUUGUCAGGCGACUUGCUGGAGCUCGACGACGAGCAACGGUUUGGCGGCAUGGUUGCCGGGUCGUACUAUGA
RNAcentral lists this ribosomal RNA (789 nucleotides) under Triticum aestivum (bread wheat). Its description in RNAcentral is "partial small subunit ribosomal RNA". The record is from RNAcentral. Lineage: Eukaryota; Viridiplantae; Streptophyta; Magnoliopsida; Poales; Poaceae.